Non-coding RNA from Coffea arabica (coffee), 974 nucleotides. NCBI's taxonomy places the organism in Eukaryota, Viridiplantae, Streptophyta, Magnoliopsida, Gentianales, Rubiaceae. The record is from RefSeq and is a predicted model, not a curated record.
UUGCUGCUUCUUGUCCUGCAUAUGCUUCACCACCUUGUGGUUGCAGAGGAGACGGGUCACUCACUCCUCAGCCUUUAGCCAAAAAAAUAGAUGCAACAAAUUCCCGACCCUCUUGCUGCUUCUUGUCCUGCAUAUGCUUCACCACCUUGUGGUUACAGAGGAGACGGGUCACUCACUCCUCAGCCUUUAGCCAAAAAAAUAGAUGCACUACUGAUCGGCUCCUCCUUCACUGCCAUGCAUCUCUUAUAACUCCUCCCUCGCGGCUAUAAAUAGAGAGGAUCGCUCCCAUCGAAAAUCCCAAGUUCAUCUAUUUCUCAUUCCCCACCUUCUUAAUUGAUAGUAUAAGAUAUACACGAUACAAAUCACGUAAAUAACAGUGCCAUGGCUUCAAGCUCGCUAAGUUCACGCAGGACAGGAUCAUCAUCAUCAGCCGCAGCAUGGACUCCGCAGCAAAACAAACUGUUUGAGAAGGCUCUUGCCCAAUACGAUAAGGAGACACCGGACCGGUGGCAGAACGUGGCCAGGGUUGUGGGCGGAGGGAAAUCCGCAGAUGAAGUCAAGAGACACUAUGAAAUCCUUGUUGAGGAUGUCAGGCGCAUCGAAACAGGUCGCGUUCCCUACCCAAACUACACCACCACAAGGGGAACCACUGCUAUUCCUAACUAAACAAAAGGCCUCUCCUCAAGGUAUGUCAAGCGCUGCAAAACCGUAAUAAUUCGGAGUAUUAUGUCUACGAUCGAUCCCGCAGUCCCGUGUAUCAACUUAAUUAUAAACUCAACUCACAAUAUUAUAUAUAUUUUUAGUGAGGUAUUUUGAAGGUGCGUACUAAAAUUUUCCUUUUCCAGUGUACUCCUAGCAAUAAAGAGGGUGGAGAUUAAUUCCUCCCGUGAAUGGAUAAAUUAAAUGCUGUUGUCUAAAUUAUAUAUUUUGCAGCAGUUAUUUAUCAUAUAAAAGUGAAGAAGCACGAUUGCGCA